RNAcentral lists this ribosomal RNA (433 nucleotides) under uncultured bacterium. RNAcentral's name for it is "partial 16S ribosomal RNA". It matches the Rfam family "Bacterial small subunit ribosomal RNA", at positions 29 to 507 of the family's 1533-position model. The record is from RNAcentral.
AACGAACGCUGGCGGCAUGCCUAACACAUGCAAGUCGAACGAGACCUUCGGGUCUAGUGGCGCACGGGUGCGUAACGCGUGGGAACCUGCCCUUAGGUUCGGAAUAACUCCCCGAAAGGGGUGCUAAUACCGGUUAAUGUCUUCGGACCAAAGAUUUAUCGCCUUUGGAUGGGCCCGCGUUGGAUUAGCUAGUUGGUAGGGUAAAAGCCUACCAAGGCGACGAUCCAUAGCUGGUCUGAGAGGAUGAUCAGCCACACUGGGACUGAGACACGGCCCAGACUCCGACGGGAGGCAGCAGUGGGGAAUAUUGGACGAUGGGCGAAAGCCUGAUCCAGCAAUGCCGCGUGAGUGAGGAAGGCCUUAGGGUUGUAAAGCUCUUUUACCCGGGAUGAUAAUGACAGUACCGGGAGAAUAAGCUCCGGCUAACUCCGUG